RNAcentral lists this ribosomal RNA (270 nucleotides) under uncultured archaeon. RNAcentral describes it as "partial 16S ribosomal RNA". It matches the Rfam family "Archaeal small subunit ribosomal RNA", at positions 477 to 747 of the family's 1478-position model. The record is from RNAcentral.
CAGCUCUCCGAGUGGUAGGGAUGAUUAUUGGGCUUAAAGCGUCCGUAGCCGGCCUAGCAAGUCUUCCGUUAAAUCCAGCAACCUAAUUGUUGGGCUGCGGGGGAUACUGUUAGGCUAGGGGGCGGGAGAGGCCGACGGUAUUCUCGGGGUAGGGGUGAAAUCUUAUAAUCCCGGGAGGACCACCAGUGGCGAAGGCUGUCGGCUAGCACGCGCCUGACGGUGAGGGACGAAAGCUGGGGGAGCGAACCGGAUUAGAUACCCGAGUAGUCC